CCUGCUGAAGUUUGUAGAACGGAAAUUUGUCAGAUUUCAGGCUAGAGCAGGU
RNAcentral lists this transfer RNA (52 nucleotides) under Centrorhynchus milvus. RNAcentral's name for it is "tRNA-Asp". Lineage: Eukaryota; Metazoa; Acanthocephala; Palaeacanthocephala; Polymorphida; Centrorhynchidae. The record is from RNAcentral.